UUUCUCCAAGUCAACGCACAUUGGUAUUCCCCAUUGAUCAGAACCACUCAUUAUGCAUACUAACUUUAAGUGAUUAGAUCCUAUGGCUGAGAUGGGCCCAUAUGUUAGUUUUUGUUUAAAGUGUUUUAUUUGUUUUAUUGAAUGCGCUUAUUAUCAACCGAGAGCACUUGGCUUAGUGGUUGGCGCAUGGGCAUGUGACCCUGGGGUCAGGUUUAACCCCUAGCGUCCCCUUUCCUUCUUCUUUUUUUCCUUUUCCCUUUUUAUUUUUUUAUUUUCCUUAUUUCUUUUUCUAUUUUAAUUUCUUUUCUUUUAUUGAUUAUUUAUUUUAAC
Molecule: long non-coding RNA, 330 nt
Filed under: Lathyrus oleraceus (garden pea)
Lineage: Eukaryota; Viridiplantae; Streptophyta; Magnoliopsida; Fabales; Fabaceae
Description: Pisum sativum (pea) long non-coding RNA (PSAT_LNC026302)
Source: RNAcentral